Long non-coding RNA from Raphanus sativus (radish), 1289 nucleotides. RefSeq lists it as uncharacterized. NCBI's taxonomy places the organism in Eukaryota, Viridiplantae, Streptophyta, Magnoliopsida, Brassicales, Brassicaceae. The transcript is spliced from 4 exons. The record is from RefSeq and is a predicted model, not a curated record.
AGGCAGUUUGAUUUCAGAAGAUAUCGACUCAAAUUUGGAGAGAACAUUUUCUCCCAAAUCAAAAAAAAAAAGAAAAAAAAUCUCUGAAGAACUCUCAACCUUUGAAAGUGUUUCGAUCUCUUCCAAAUUUUGCAGAAACGGAUCCAAUUCAUUAAAAACGGAUUUUCGAUCGCGAUUUUGUUUCUAGGGUUUCGUUCUCUUUAGAUUCUGUCGCUAUUGGUUUGGGGUUUCUCGCUCUAUGUUAGGGCUUCGUGUGAAUCUUUCUUGUUCAAUUGAUUUUCUUGUUCCUUCAUAGUUCGCUUUGAUUUGGAGUUUCUUGCUCUCUGUUCGAUUGAUUGCCUUGUUCCUCUAUAGUCGAUUGACGUCUUGUUCCAUUACAGUUCGAUGACACUUUUGAUUUAGGGUUUCGUUCUCGUUAAAUUUGUUCCGAUUGAUUUGGGGUUUCUUGCUCCAUGUUAGGGUUUCGUGUGAAUCUUUAUUAUUCGAUUUCUGUCUAUUGUUUGAUUGAUUGAUUGUCUUGUUUUAUAACUUAAAACGAGAAAUUCUGGUAAAUUCUCGCUCUAUGUUAGGGUCUCGAACGUGGAAGCGUUUACAAUUUAGUCAUCUGUUAAAUCAAAUCAAACCACUAGGCGUUUCAUAGAGAUAAAUGUAAAUUGACCUUUGGUUUCUGGAUGAUCUGCUACGGAUGAGAGUUGUUAUAAUUAAUCUUUCGUCUAAUACACUUACUAGAGUAGUGAUGCAGUUACUAAGCCUUAGUAUAUGGCAUCAUAUCGUAGUAUAUUUUCUCUCCUCUUUUUUUUUUUUCUGAGUUUGGCAUUGGAUUUUUGUUGCUUGAGAUACUGUUAAGUGUUUGUCAUAUGUUAAGUGCUAAUAACGUCUACUAUUGUUGUUGGAACUUACAGGAGGAAUGCUUGCAAAGUUUGCAGAACCGUAUUGAUGUAGCUUAUGUCAGCACCAUACCUCUGCAUCAGAGGGGUAUCAGGUUGACUGACUUAGAGCCUGAACCUUUGGAGGUUCGUCCAGCUGAUCAGGAUAUUGCUGCGAAGGCAUGGAAGAAGACUCCAGCAUGGGUCCCGUCACUGAAAGGGUACGUACAAGUUGGAACUUGGAAAUUCUCCUGUUUAUAAGACCGAGAGGAAACUCAGUAAGGGUGGCUUUGGUCAAGUUUAUGUUGGCUGAAGGAUGAGUGGUGGCAGUGAUAGGAUCGUAGCAGAUGCAGUUGAGGUAGCUCUGAAACUUGAACACACCGAAAUAGUAAAGGAUGCAAUUUCGUCCCACCUAUACGAGUG